GGGGAUUUUGGACAAUGGGGGUACCCUGAUCCAGCCAUCCCGCGUGUGCGAUGAAGGCUUUCGGGUUGUAAUAGCACUUUUGGCAGGAAAGAGACGUCUGCGGGUUAAUACCCCGCGAAACUGACGGUACCUGCUAGAAUAAGCACCGGCUAACUACGUGCCAGCAGCCCGCGGUAAUACGUAGGGUGCAAGCGUUAAUCGGUAAUUACUGGGCGUAAAGCGUGCGCAGGCGGUUCGCGAAAGAAAGUAUGUGACAAUCCCAGAGCUUAACUUUGGAACUGCAUUUUUAACUACCGGGCUAGAGUGUGUCAGAGGGAGGUGGAAUUCCGCGUGUAGCAGUGAAAUGCGUAGAUAUGCGGAGGAACACCGAUGGCGAAGGCAGCCUCCUGGGAUAACACUGACGCUCAUGCACGAAAGCGUGGGGAGCAAACAGGAUUAGAUACCCUGGUAGUCCACGCCCUAAACGAUGUCAACUAGCUGUUGGGGCCUUCGGGCCUUGGUAGCGCAGCUAACGCGUGAAGUUGACCGUCUUGGGGAGU
Molecule: ribosomal RNA, 539 nt
Filed under: Achromobacter sp. S3
Lineage: Bacteria; Pseudomonadati; Pseudomonadota; Betaproteobacteria; Burkholderiales; Alcaligenaceae
Description: bacterial SSU rRNA
Rfam family: Bacterial small subunit ribosomal RNA
Source: RNAcentral